This 355-nucleotide ribosomal RNA is filed under the name uncultured bacterium. RNAcentral describes it as "partial 16S ribosomal RNA". It matches the Rfam family "Bacterial small subunit ribosomal RNA", at positions 338 to 690 of the family's 1533-position model. The record is from RNAcentral.
CCUACGGGUGGCAGCAGUGAGGAAUAUUGGUCAAUGGACGAGAGUCUGAACCAGCCAAGUAGCGUGAAGGAAGACUGCCCUAUGGGUUGUAAACUUAUAUUAUAAAGGAAUAAAACGAGGCACGUGUGCCUUUUCGCAUGUACUUUAUGAAUAAGGAUCGGCUAACUCCGAGCCAGCAGCCGCUGUAAUACGGAGGAUCCGAGUGUUAUCCGGAUUUAAUGGGUUUAAAGGGAGCGUAGAUGGGUUGUUAAGUCAAUUGUGAAAGUUUGCGGCUCAACCGUAAAAUUGCAAUGGAUACUGGCAGUCUUGAGGACAGUUGAGGUAGGCGGAAUACGUGGUGUAGCGGUGAAAUGCU